Phragmites australis (common reed) is the source of this 1402-nucleotide long non-coding RNA. RefSeq lists it as uncharacterized. Lineage: Eukaryota; Viridiplantae; Streptophyta; Magnoliopsida; Poales; Poaceae. The transcript has 6 exons. The record is from RefSeq and is a predicted model, not a curated record.
GACUGUAAGAAAAGGCACGUCUACACGUGGAUGCUUUGAUAGCUAGACUGCAAGUCCGCAAAAAGCCAACUAGCCAAAGCUUAGACUGACAGAUGGAUUCUUUGAAGGAUCAUAAAGAAUCAACUGGUAUAAGCCCCGAUGUUCAGAUGUUGGAAGGGAUCAAGAACACAUUGAGUUGUACACUAUCAAAAGUUAUAACACGACAUAACAAACCAAAGAAGGCGCAUAUAACUAGAGUUGCCCUGCAGGAUUAUAUUUGUACCGGAGAAGAUAUUGCCAUUGUCGAAUCCAUCAAAUCAUCAUCUGGAAAUAGAAUACUCGUGGAUAUCGACGAUGCAUUCGUAGAUAAGUUCCAUUUUGAAUGCCAUCUACAGCCUAACGAGUUCUUAAAUGAUGAAGUACACCUGCAUAAAGCUGUUAUAUAACAGAACCCUAUAAUUUAAUCAUAAUUUAUAACUUGUAAUUAUAGGUCAUAAGCACUUAUAUCCAUUGUAUAAGGGCUGAAGAGCAUCUAUAUUAUAGGGCUGGUGCAAAAGUCUUCCUAUAGAAUACUUACAUUUCUAACAUUUUAAAGCGUGAUGGCGAGCUUGCGAUGAACAAAAUAGAUCCUAGCCAUGACACCAUCGAAAAAAGGGUGGACAAUUAUCUGAAGCAUGACAUGGUAACGAUCGACACCAUACCUAUCAAUUUUAUGUUAAUAUACCUAUGGUUCAUACUUACGACAAAUAUUUUCUUUAGGUAUUCAUUCCAAUUAACAUCAUACGAUGCCAUUGGUACUUAGCAGUUGUGAACGCUAAAAAAUGUGAGAUACAUGUUCUUGACUCGCUAGGGCCUAUAAUGAAUCGCAACGAUCUCACUCUUAUUAUAUGUGGAUUGGAGAAAUAAAUAAAUAUUACAUCACAGUUGAAAGAGCUUAAAGACCACAAGUGGCAUGACCUCAAGGUUGGAAGAUGGCCUGUUAUAGAGAAAUUCCCAAAGGCAAAGCAAAUUGACGGCGUCUCUUGUAGUCUAUUCAUGCUAAACUUCAUGUAGUACUGGACAGGAGAUACACUAUCUAAUAGUGUGACUCAGUGUGAUAUGACGAAUUUUAGACUAAAACUAGCAGCAAUUUUGUUGGACUCGAAACUAAACACGAGGAAAACUUGUUCAUAUUCCAAACAUGACAGCAACGAAGAAAAAAGUUCAGAUGGUGUUGUGACUAUAGAGAGUCGUACCAAGCGUAGCAAAAAAAUUUCGAAGACAUCACAUCAAACUGAAGAUCAAUCGUUACAAUAUGUUCUUCCCAUUGCUAUCAUACCGACAAAUGCAUCUGAGUUAGUAGGCGAGCUUUGCAAAUUUAUCAUGUCUAUAGACCAUGCUGAGACUUUGGAGUACGUCUAUCUAAUUCCAUAUAAUAUGUAUA